AUUGAACGCUGGCGGCAUGCCUUACACAUGCAAGUCGAACGGCAGCGGGGGAGAAGCUUGCCUUUCCUGCCGGCGAGUGGCGAACGGGUGAGUAAUACAUCGGAACGUGCCCUGUAGUGGGGGAUAACUAGUCGCAAGAUUAGCUAAUACUGCAUACGACCUGAGGGUGAAAGUGGAGGACCGCAAGGCCGCAGGCUAUAGGAGAGGCCGGUGUCUGAUUAGCUAGUUGGUGGGGUAAAGGCCUACCAAGGCGACGAUCAGUAGCGGGUCUGAGAGGACGAUCAGCCACACUGGGACUGAGACACGGCCCAGACUCCUACGGGAGGCAGCAGUGGGGAAUUUUGGACAAUGGGCGAAAGCCUGAUCCAGCAAUGCCGCGUAUGUGAAGAAGGCCUUCGGGUUGUAAAGCACUUUUGUCCGGAAAGAAAUGGCUCUGGUUAAUACCUGGGGUCGAUGACGGUACCGGAAGAAUAAGGACCGGCUAACUACGUGCCAGCAGCCGCAGUAA
RNAcentral lists this ribosomal RNA (508 nucleotides) under uncultured bacterium. RNAcentral's name for it is "partial 16S ribosomal RNA". It matches the Rfam family "Bacterial small subunit ribosomal RNA", at positions 29 to 523 of the family's 1533-position model. The record is from RNAcentral.